Molecule: ribosomal RNA, 162 nt
Filed under: uncultured bacterium
Lineage: Bacteria
Description: partial 16S ribosomal RNA
Rfam family: Bacterial small subunit ribosomal RNA
Source: RNAcentral
CCGCGGUAAAACCGGUUACUCCUACGGGAGGCAGCAGUGGGGAAUAUUGGACAAUGGGCGCAAGCCUGAUCCAGCCAUGCCGCGUGAGUGAUGAAGGCCUUAGGGUUGUAAAGCUCUUUCGCCAGGGACGCGGUACCUGGAUAAGAAGCCCCGGCUAACUUC